Panicum virgatum (switchgrass) is the source of this 1490-nucleotide RNA transcript. It is a transcript of the gene named pentatricopeptide repeat-containing protein At4g21190-like, with no coding region annotated. The record is from RefSeq and is a predicted model, not a curated record. The transcript is spliced from 7 exons. Lineage: Eukaryota; Viridiplantae; Streptophyta; Magnoliopsida; Poales; Poaceae.
AAAAAAAUCUGGGAGAUAGGGAUUGCAAGCUGCAGCCGUGCGGUCGCUCCCAUCCCAGGACUCCGGCGAGAAGAAACGACGGUGGCAGCAGUCGAGACUCCACUCAGUCGCGGUGGCGGCUGUCCAUUCUUUUCCGUUUUCUCCUGCUCUUCUACUCUUGACUAAGAAUGUUGUGCUUGAGGAACUAUUGGUCGCCUGCAUUUGCCUUAGUACGGGAAGGGGCUGCUGUUCGAUAUCCUGGGGAAGGAGCUACUGUUGGACAUCCUCCAAAGUUCAAUUCUGUAGUGGUUUGCGGUGCCAGGGGUCCAAGACCGAGAUAUCCCCGUGUGUGGAAAACUCGUAAGAAAAUUGGGACUAUUUCCAAGUCACAGAAGCUUGUCGAAUGUAUUAAAGGUCUGUCUAAUGUAAAGGAGGAAGUUUAUGGCGCACUUGACUCAUUUGUUGCAUGGGAACUGGAGUUUCCCUUGAUAGUAGUAAAGAAGGCACUGAAGACACUUGAGGAUGAAAAGGAAUGGAAACGAAUAAUUCAGGUUAUUAAAUGGAUGUUCAACAAAGGUCAAGGGAAGACAAUGGGAAGCUAUUACACCUUGUUGAAUGCUUUGAUCGAGGAUGGACGGAUUGAGGAAGCAGAAGAAUUAUUUGGAAUGAUAUUUUCACGAUAUAUGGAGGGUUUGCCUCGUACAUUUUUCAUGAGAAUGAUUUCUUUGUAUUACAGUGUGGGAGCAUACGAUAAGAUGUUUGAGGUUUUUGCUGAUAUGGAGGAACUAGGUGUUAGACCUGAUGGUUCAAUUGUCCGGAUGCUAGGUGAUGCAUUUCAGAAGUUAGAGAUGAUGGACAAAUAUGAAAAGUUAAAGAAGAAAUACCCGCCACCAAAAUGGGAAUAUCGAUACAUUAAAGGCAAGCGCAUCAGGAUGAGGGUUUACCCUGAUAGUAAAGCCGAAGAGGCGACAAAAGGAGACCCUGGCACAGAUGAACUGCAAGAGGCAGAAAGUAUACACCUUGAUAGUGAAUUGGAAGAAGAAGCAAGCUCUGGCCUCGACAGGAAUGGAUUGGAUGAUGCAUCUUCUGGAGACCUUGAAUAUGUAUAGAUCAGACCUUCCAUUGGUAUUUUUGCGCCUGCUUAAUCAAAGCAGGCAAGAGCAAUGAACUGUUGCCCUGCAGCUUGAAGUUUUGGUGAUAGCCAGUUUGCUGCUGCUGCCAUAUUUGGAAAUGGAAAAGCAGCUCUCGUGUUCAAUGGAUGUCCAGCGGUUUAGCAUCGUAUAUUCAUCAAAUGAUCUGGUGAUCCUAUUCCAUGGCUAGCUGUACCUGAUUGCUUCACGAAGAACUUGUGAUUGAUUGUUAAAGUUGAUAUCCUGGACUGGACAUCAGACAGGGCAGUACCAUUGAUAUCUUUGCCAUAGUAGAUCGCGCAAGAGCUCUGUAUCUCUUUGUAUAAAGAGUCAUCUGAAGCCCAGGCCCAUAUCAACUAAUAGGAAGCAGAGUUUGGCUUA